Gallus gallus (chicken) is the source of this 17843-nucleotide long non-coding RNA. RefSeq lists it as uncharacterized. The record is from RefSeq and is a predicted model, not a curated record. The transcript has 3 exons. Lineage: Eukaryota; Metazoa; Chordata; Aves; Galliformes; Phasianidae.
GGGAUCUUAACUUUUAAGAAAUACUCUGCCUGUGUUGUUUUUUCACUCCAGAGCCUUUAUGCUGCUUUGCACCAAUUUGGAUUUGAGAGUCUUAUGUGGCACAGGGCUGUGUAUGGUACACAACUGCUGGAAUUGUUUCUUUUUUUAACUAGGAGAUUGGCAGCCACUUGGAUGAGUCACAAUCAGGAGCCUAAUUUUAGCUGGUAUGUAUGUAUUGGGAGAAUCUACCACAGAAAGUUGCAUCUCAAACGUUCAGAGAGGUGAAGUGAAUUUCUUUUUUGGGCUUCAUAGAGACUGGCUUUUGUGUCUGAUUUCUGUUUCUUUUCUUGUGGUUUUGUACAGUCUGGCUAGAAACACAGCAUUUAUGACCUUUCUGUCAGAAUUAACCUAACUCCUUCACCUUCAAAGAGUUUAUAAGAAGGAGACAAUCUAGAGCGACAACAUCGAUACUUUGAUUGAUGUUUGUUUGCUAUGUGUUUGACGUGUUUGCCUCUGUUUUGAGCAUAAUGAAGUCCAGAGUUUCAGCUGUCCGUAGAGUCCCAGUUCAUUUGUUAAUUUAUCUGUGUUGCAGCCUCUGCUUCUUUUCUCUUGCUUGCAUGAGAAUUAGCAUGAGGUGUUAGGAUGGAGUUGAAGAGGAGCUUAGGGUAUGCAGUCAGAGCCUUCUAAUCAUUCUGGCUACAAAAUUUUGUUGCCAGCACUCAUGCAACAUUUUUUAAAGCUAGUAAAGAUAUUCUGCUGAAUACUACGUUUUGCUGUGUUGGUUGACAUGCAUCAAAGUAAUGUAACUGCUGGCAGAAUCUGGCUUCUACUUCUGGCAUCCUCCUAGAAAGCAAAUAUAGAAGAGUGGCGCCUGGUUUUGAACGCUGUGUAUAUGAGAAAGAAAAGCCAAGAGCUUUUUAAGGCAUCUUGCUGUUCCCUAAUGCAUUGUUUCAGUUUCCUGUGAAGCCAAAGUGUCAGACUGGAUUGUUCAAGGAGAUGAAGGGCAAGUUGUCAUUUAGUACCCAUGUUCGGAAAGUGGCUGUUCGUGUACCCAAGUCCUUCCUCUGCAUUGUGCCAUGAUGCUCCUGCUCAGCCUCUCUAUGCACCCAGGUAGUAAACUACCAUAUGUUGUUUAUAGAGGAUUCAAAGGCAGUGUAUCAUUUUCCACUUAAUCAGGAUGUUCCUAAUCGAGGAAAUUGCCCAGAGAACUAAUUAAAGCCAAAUGUACUGAAUAACGACUGUUUAAGAGACAUUUUAAUUCGACUGAGCAGGAACAUCAUUUGGUGAUUUACAGGUACCUGGGCCACGUCCCAUUUUCAAGCUGAGCGUGUCCUGGUUUCUCCCAGGAGAGCUCUUACUUUUGUUGGAUUUACAGUGCAGGGAAUGUCUAUACAAGUGACUUUGUCACUAUUUGACCUGUAUCAAAGCUGUACCUUUCUUAGAUCAGAUGGGCAGUCUUUGCCAUGUCUGGGCAGCGUGUUCUGCUUUCUGUGUGCAGAGCUGCUUUUUCCAUCCCUUGAGGAGUCUCAGGCUGCGUACUGGUACUGGUGACAGUGCUGCUUAAGGUUAGCAUAAACAUCUCCAGGUCCUGGACACAUGUUCUUGAUUUGUGCUGUUUCUUGUGCUGUCCUGGCAAGCUAUUUGUUCAGCUGUGUAGCAGUUAAGUCAGGAUACUGAUCUGGAUGAAAAAUAACCCAGAGAAAGGAGAAGAAAUAGGAAAAAGAAGAGAGUUGCCUCAUCCAAAUGGGUUUUCUAGCUUGGUUCGCUGUGUGGCUAUACAAACAGCUGUACAAGCACAAAGAAGGGAGUGGUGGGAAUAAGUGGGUGAGGUAAGGGAGAAAGGAGGCUGUUUAAGCUAGCUCUGCUGCCAAAGUGUUACUUGCCAAAUAUCUUAGCUUCUCUACUUUCUUGAACAAUUCCUCACAUCUGCUGUCACACUACACUCAUAUGGAUGUUACUACUUCUGCAUAAUAGCAUGACAUCUGUACUGGUGCAGACACUGACUUCCUCUCAACCAAAUAUCCUGUCUCCAGUGGUGGCCAUAAUGAGCAGACCCAUGGAAUAAGGAUGAGACAAGCAUGUAUGAUACUUCCAUGGCUGUUCUGUCAAACUGUUUUUAGCUCAGGGGACUUCUUGAACCUGGUGUUGUUUGUUUAUGCAGUAACUCUCAAUGAGUGUCUUAAGUACUUCAAAUUCAGUACUCCCCUGAAGACCAUACAAGAUGACCAUGCAAGUACUCACAACAUCUUCUGUCAGGGAAUUCUAUGGUUUUUCAGCUUGGAAUAAUCAAGAAGUCCAUGGACAGAAUGGUCCUACACUACCAACCUGAUGCAGACAUGGGAGCAUGAUGGCAUAGAGCAAGCAUCCACUCCAUAUACUGUCACACCUUACCUCUAAACCAAUCUCCACCUGCUUCUACUGUUGGAAACAGUUCCUGGCUCCCUCUAGCUCUCAGGAUCUGUCAAGGAGUUGUUUGCAUCAUUGGUGCAAGCCAAAUAAAUGUGGGGCUUCCCUACAGCUGGCAGCACAGUACAGCAAGCUACAGUAGUUGGGGCUGUUUCCUGGCACUCUUAAAUUAAUGGAAGGAGAUACAGUCAUGAUGCCUUUAGUUAAUCCUGAAGGUACUGAGAUCAUUAGGAUGUUCCUAGGUCAGUAUUUUCAACCUCUGAGGAUUUCAGGAAAAUGAUAAUUUCCUAUAUGAGAUUGUAGUCAUUAUUUAGUAUUCUUAAACUGAUAAUUCCAUUGAGUCAGUUUUAAUGCCUAGUCCAGUCAUCUGUUGACUAUUGUUAUUAUCUUUAUGAAUACAUACUUUCACAUAAUGUUGACUAGCUUGUGCAACAGAUAAAAUUAUUGAGGGAAAGACUUCCUUAAGGAAUUGGAAGUAUGACAUUGGUAACACCUGCUAUCUACUGCUCAGUGAAGGGGAAAUGUUUGGAUUGUCUCAGUCUAGUGCAUGAACAAAAGAUGUCAAAGUACUAUUUCCAGAAGCCAGUGAAGGGUAAUGAAUUUGGAGAAAUCUCAGCUGAAAAGCCCAAGAAGGAACAGUUGAGACACGUUUUAUAUGUUCUUCUCAAAGGUAGGCAGGUUGAGUUCGUAUCUGAAAGCACACCAGGAAAUGGAUAAGCUUGCAACCUAUAUCAGUUCUGUGGGCACAUGAAAGUAUGUUACAUCCCAGUCCUCAUCUAAUUCUACUGUGAUUUGUGUGAGAUUAUAAACUAUUACUUUCUUUGUACAUCUGUGACCAAGUCAGUGGGUUGUGGAGCUGUUCAAGAGAAGUGAAUCCACCGAGAUUUGCUGUGUUGACAAACUAGGGCAAAAUUUAAAUGUUUGUUUAAUGGUAUGUUUGAUGUAGAUUAUAAUUGUUGCUACAAUGUGCAUAGCUGUUUGCUGUGAUGAGAGGGAAAACUCUUUUCACCUCAUGUUCACCGUGUUUCUCGUGGUAAUCUCUGCAUAGGCUGCUGAGGCAGCCCUGCCCAGUGUGGCUGCCUGAUCCUCCAGAAGUGCUCUGACAAUGAGGACACGUGUGUAGUCCCAUGGCAGAGAAUAAAAUUGUCUGGUAUUUAUGUGCAUGUUAAAAGCUUUUUAUGAAUAGGUUGUACAUUCCUUUCUCCCGCCCCCUUGGGAUGCAAUAACCCCUGUGUAAGAUAUGCACAAUUUAUGUAAAUGAUUGUGAUUGCCACAACUAAUCAAGGCAAGGACGAAAGCAAUCACAAGCUCUCAUCUAGCAGUCAGCUUCCUGACUCCACGUCAGCCUCCAUAUUAGAUGCUACUUCAUUAAAAUAUAUAUGACCCAAUUCAAGAGCUAAUUUGGGUGAAACCAUUAGGCUUCUGUCCUCAUCACCAGUGAAAGUUUGCAGUUCAUUUUCACACACGAGUGAGCAGUUGCAGCUUUAAGAUGCGUGAAGGUUAUUGCUAUGUGUGUGUGUUGGAGGGAGAGAGAGAGGGAAGGUUGCAGGCAGUGGUCUGUUAGAACGUGCUCGUAUUUCUAGAAUAGCACUGCUUUAUAAGUCUUACUUGUGCUCCACCUGUGGACUGCUAUGCAGGAUAUGGAAAUGUAUGGAUCAGUUAAACACAUCAAGGGGAAAUUGAGCCUCUGAGAAUGGAGAGUGCAGGAUGCUCAUGUUGCCUCCUGACUCAGCGGUGGUCUCAGUGGAGUCUCUGGUGGAGGGUGUCCGGUCAGAUCUCCAAAGUUGUUUGGAGCAAGCCCAGAGAAUCUCUACAAAGUCUAACAAGGUUGUUUUUUUAUUUUAUUUUAUUUUAUUCUAUUCUGUUUUAUUUUGUCUUUUUCAUAUUGGUUAAUCGUUCUAAAUGCCUCAAAUUCAUAAGAAGCUCUUAAUAUACAGAGUUUGCAAAAAUAAUCAGAAGAUCACAGAUUCAGGAUCUCAAGAUGUUUUCUAAUCCCGUAAAUCCAAGUAAUUUUCCAACAUUGGGAAGGAUGCCACAACUGAGUUGCAUCAAUAAUAUCUACUGGCUUGCGUGGCUGGCAGGGGUUUCUUCCCCGGAGCCGCUAUGUGGGGUAUCAAGUUGCUCUCUGUGCUGAUGGAUGAGUCACUGGAAUCUCUGUUUUGUUUGUGCAUUUUAUCAGAGAUCAUCAGGCAGCCAUCACUGUGAUUGACUAACCCAGCACGAAGUGUCAGGCGAAAGGAACUGAAGUGAAGUAACACAACUGACAGCUAAAGAAUAAGCAACAAUCUGUCUUUUCAAAUGAGUUGUUCUGUUGGCAAUUUGACAAACGAAUGUAAUAGGGGAGCUCUCUGUAUAAAUGGACAAGAAGGAGAAGUGGUGAGAUUGGAAGCAAUUUGUUUGCCUGUUGAAGAUCUCCUGCAAAGUUCCACUCAGCAGAUUUAUUUGGGUGUUAUACCAACUGAUUGAUAAAAUUUAUCUGCCCUACGUUGAGUAAGUGUACCCAGAUGAGGAGCUAUUUGCAAGCAAUCAAGUGGCCACAUUGUAAAAACUUGCUGUGAAGGUGAACUGUCCUUGUUUUAUUUUGUAUUGCAAAGGACGAGCAGUGCACAUUGUCAGUUACCAUGCUUGACUGAGAGUGCUAAGUCAAUCACAUGUGUUCUUCAAAAAUGACCACUGUCCAUUAAAUUGCUAAUACUGUAUCUUGGGUUGAGAUUGUUCAGAUGAUUGCAGCCGCUUACAGUAUCUAGGUGCUUUACAUUUCCUUCCAUGCUUGUUAGUCUGGUACAGUGCGAAGAAAGCACUGUUUGUGUUGGCAGCUACAGAUUGUAGAUUAAGCAUCACUUCCACAGCAGCACAUCUCGUUUGUCUUCAUCAGUGCUACUGCUUGUGCAGCGGUGUAGAUUUGUCCAGGAGUCUGUGUGAGAUUGACAAGACAGCAGGAACGGAUUUUCAUAAUUAUCACUUCUUUUAGGAAACCUUACAAACAGCAAAGGUAUAUUUUGUUUGCACAUGACAUUCCUCCAGCUUUAAUCUCCUCCCUCUUGUUUACGACUGCAUAGUUAUUGGGAUGAAGCACAGAUUGCAGUUAUCAUCAUCACCUUGAGGCUUGGGGCCAACACCGGAGGCAGGGGAAAGCUGCUUGCUCAUUGUGUUGCCAGAGGCAAAGCAGUGCCACCUCAGUGUCACGUUGGCUAGGCUGGCAGUAUUCUCCUCUGUGUUUUAGAUUGAAUUAAGCCCCAUUGGCACCGAGACUUGUGACUCUUUUCUAGUGCAGCUGGCGUGACUGAGUUUCUUCAUCAAAGAGGGUUGAUACUGGAGUUCCAAUGGGGCUAGGUUGCUACAGCCUCAUGCAAAGAGGAAGGAGGAGAGGCUGUUUAAAUAGAAGAUUACUUCUAUUUAAAGUAGAAGCUGUGGUGGAGAAUAUAACCACUGCUUGCCCUGCAGAUAUUUAGCUGUUCUUUAAUAGCUGAAUCUGCAAUGACAUCUCGGUGCCUGGGGCAAGUAACGCCGUAAGAACUUCUUCUUUCUGAUGCAAGCUCUGUGUCUGAAGCUUUAAAAGGCUGCGGUACCUGCAGAAGGUAGCAUGUGUAUAAGGGAACCAACAGAGCUGUGCUAAGCCAUGCAGAUCCCUGGCCUGGCUCCCCUGGCUCUGCUGCAGGGGAGGUGGUUUUGGAGGGGAAGGGAAGGAAGGGACUCAAACUCUUCCCCCUCCCCUGCCCUCUGGUGAGUCCAUUCCUUUGCAGGAUUAUCCACUGUUGAGAACCUGAUGGUUUCUUGGAGGACAUGUACAAGCUGCCAUUGUUCCAGAAAGCACUUGAUGUGACAGUGCUGUUGAUGUGAGCAGUGCAGAGCUGUGGGUGGAAUUGCUUAGCUAGAGUUCAGGAAAUUAAAUAGGCAACCUCAUUUCUUCUCCACACAGAAUCACGGAAUGGCUGAGGUUGGAAGGGAUCUCUGGAGGUCAUCUGGACCAACUUCCCCUUUUAAAGCAAUUUGGGUAUUGUCUUCUUUCUUUCAAUUUUCAGAAGGAUGAACACUAAUCUAGAGGUGAUGAUGAUAACAGUUGUGUUUACUUUCAUUAUGUAGCGAGUAAUGUAUUAUCCUUUUAUUCUGCUAUUUAUGGUUAAGAAUAAAACUGCUAACACUUCGGAGAAUGCAGAAAAGACAUUUCAAACAGACAUGUUGAAACAAAAAUAAUUAGAUGAAAAAAAAAUUACAUUCCCUAUCAGUGACUGUGUUUCUUUCAGGCUGUUUUCUGAGGCAGAUACUAAAACUAUGUUAUCUAAAUUCAUACAAUUAUGUUUAAAAUAUUUUAUUACUUCGUUGGCUACUCUCUGUAUUACUAUAUUGUCUAGGCUUUUGAAACACAGAGAUCAGCUACUUAAAGAAUCCCAUCGUGGUCUUAGAUUGCAAAUUAGCUCCUUGAAAUAUCAGCUGUACAUAUUUUGCAUUUAAUAAAUUAAUUUAUUAAGGAAGCAAGAAAUUGAUUAUUCAAUUACAGGCACCAGACACUCUAGUGUGUUAGAUGAAGCAUGAAGCUGAUCAAUAAAAAUAUAUUUCAUCAGCAUCUCCUAGGAGUGAACUAGCUGGUUAGAAAGGAACAAAAGCACACCCUUGCAAACCACUCUCUGUGUUUUCACAUGAUGAGAUUGAAACACAAAUGUCCUGUGCAAUAAAUUUGUGUAUACUCAGGGAAUUUGUAUUAUGUAUGAAAUGCAAUUUGCAUUUCACUCUGGAAAAAAAGUUAAUACAUGUUUGCUUGUGUGGGUUGAAUAAGAUAUAUGAAUCCCAUGAGUAAGAAACACGUUCUGAAAUCUACAUACAGAAAAAUCUGUUGGGUCUUAAUAUUAAAUCUGUGCUGAAUGCUGGAAACCAUCCAGAAUCAAAACUGUCGUGGCUUGUUUGUAUCUCCCUGCUUCCUUCUUCUUCAAGAUCCUUUAUAUCCUUGCUUCAGUCAGGUUAUCCCAGAUAGUUUAUAAUCAGUGCUGCUAAACUCAUCUCAUAGUGGGCAUCUUAGAGGCGAGGCAAAACAAAACAAGUGUUUUCACAGGGAAUUUAUGUGCAGAGUGAUUCCUUUUUAGCUUACUUUUUUUUUUUUUUCCUUUACUUUUUCAUCUCUCAAAAGUGCUCCUGUUGCAGUUGAUGGUCAGGAUGAUGACUUACUGUGUAUUGUGGAAGAAUAGCAGCAUAAGUCUGUUCUGGGAUGUGGGUAAUAGAACAUAGUGACCCUUUCACCUUAACAUUAACUUAAUGUUUCUCUCUCUGGAUCCUAAAUAUGCAAGCAUCAGGCUACUGCAUGCUGUUGUACCAACUGCAAAAUAAUGGUUGUGCUGGGAAGGAGUGUAAUUAUUGCACUUUUGUUUCUAUGCUUAUCUAAUAAUCUCAAAUUUGGAUUUUGCAGGGUAAUUAGUUCUGUAGUCUUCCAGAAAAGUCUGAGACCUUUAAUCUUUGGCAAAUAUUGACAGUUAUUUGCACACUAAACUGAGAAUAAGAAGAUGACAGUGCUUUGGUUUUAGUAGCUUCAGUGGAGUUCCUUUCCAUUUACACCUGAAUAAUGAAGACAAGAGUCAGGCCAUUGUUUUUGGAGCCCUAUUGUUCUUUUUUCUUUAGUACAAUCCCUCUAACGAUAUUCAGCUGCCUGAAAAAUUUCAAGAGAUCCAAAGUAAGCAUUGCUGGGUGGUUUGGGAGUCUUUCCUGCCUUUGAACAGUUUAGUUUCAAAAAUGAAAUUGUGCAAGCUAAUUUUAAUGCAUUUUGCAAAACUCUGCUUGUGAUGUAUGGUUUGUGUUACCAGUACACUCAUUUCAGCCCCAGGUCUCGCAGCCAGCCCUGGGAGAUGUAGCAGUAGAAGAAUCUUUAUCCCUCUGCCUAUAAACCUGUAAAAACUGCUACCACAAAUCUACACAGAUGAAGGAAGCAAAACAAAUUAAACUCAAGGUAGAUUUAUGGCCAUCAUCAGCCAAGCAGUUCAGCAUGCAUUCAACUACAGGCAUGGGUUUAAUCCCUUUUUAGUCACUUAAGCUGUGACUAAGUCCCCUGCAUAACUAUGAGGAGAGGGCGUGGGCCUACCUGCGCGGCUGCCUUGGAGCCUGUUCCCCCAGAAGUGCAAUAGCCUCCUUGCGUCACUUGUGUGACAUUUGUGCCACAGCAGCUGCACACUGAUGGUGAAUCAUCCAGAUCACCACAGCAACAGAUUUCUUCUUGAUACUUUUGUCUCUUGGGAGACAGAAUCUCUCUUGUGCCAGUGUUAAGUUUUUUAAAUGUCGAUGUGAAUGAGCAGGGAUCUUGUGCUUGUUGAUGAUCAGUGUGCAAUCUUGCUUUGCACUGCAUGGGAGGUCUCAGCUUGGACUUUGAGUUCUGUAGUUGCCUCCUGGAUCUGCCCUGGUGCUCUCCUGCACCCUUUUUAGGGCUGUGGCAGAUAAAUGUGAGAGGAGAUGUGCACCAAGUCCCACUCUACUUACUAGCACCCAUCCGCAAUCCAGAAAGGAGCAGAUCUCAUUAAACCCACAAAUGUUUGUGUAUCAGGAACAGCUACAUCUAACUGCCUCAGGUAGGGCCAGCCAUGAAAUUAAAGGAUAUGAUAUACCAGAUUCUUAAUUGGUGAGAUUCAGCACCUGAAUUAAUUACAAUGAUGUAAAUCAGCCAAGGGGAGGACCCAUCAUCUUGUUGGUUUUCCAUUCAAAGAGUUUGCUCACUGAAGCAGACAUCAGAAGUACCAUUUUUACACAACGUAAUUAAUUUGAGAGAAUGCAAGUGUUCAGAAUGAACCAUUCUUUACUGAUUUGUUCCAGAGGCAGGCUAGUAUCUCUUCCAGUCUUCUGCAGGGCAAGGAACUUUCCGGAAUGAAUUUUGUGUUGUCCUAUUCUCCUCAUUAGCAUGGUUGCAGAUGUUUCUGUGAAACCUAUAAAGAUGCUUUCUGAAUCUUUGCAUAGUGAUUUCCAGUCAGACUGAGAUUCCUUAUGGAAUAUAGCUCGUCAAACACCUGUCAGUCAUUUAGUGUUCUCAGCUUUGUUGAAUUCUCAAAAAAGGCAUAGGCGUCUGUUUUCAACUUGAUUCUUUAAAACAAUUUAACCAUGAUAAGUCAUUUUUUUUAAUGAGGUAUUUUUUGGCUUGUGUAUGCUUUUCUUGAUAUGGAUGAAGGUGCUUGAAGCUGAACCCAGAGCAAGGGUCAGCAGGGGGGUUACUCUGAGAUGACCAUCAUGGGAGUCCUUUCUCUUCCCUGCUAUUUAUUUAGAUAAUGGCAGAGAAGAGACUCAGGGCUGCUUGUGGGCAGGAGGGCCUUGCAAGCACAGCAAGGUCAGAUGUCCAUAUGGAAUGGUUGGCCAGUAUUCUUGCAAUUGUUAUGAUGAUUAUUAUGGUCUGAGGUUUUUCCUAUUUCUGAAAAACAGCAGGAGGGAGAUAAACCCAAUAUUAUAAACUGCACUAAGAAGAUAUUGCUAUGACUGCACCUCAGUUGCUGGCUCAUACAGCUAUAUGUGGCAUUUUUACCUCCAAAAUAUUUGUUUUGAUGAAGGUAGAAACAUUUCUAAAUUUAUAAAAAUACUGAAUUUGUUGUUGAACUGGGGCAGAGAGAAGAUGAAUAUCUGACUGGCUCGUCUUUGACUUUGCUUAAUGACACUCUUUGUCCUGGCAGUUAUCUUGUGCAUCUGACUGGGCUCAUUUCCCAAAAUUUAUAUCUAUCUAUAAUCAGAAAUUAAUGUGGUAGAGUAAUUCCAUUUCUGAUUCUGUGCUUUUUCUCUCUUAAUUAAAUUACUUUAGACAGUUUGGGCACAAUAGAGGCAGUAUUGUGCAGAAGUUGUAACUUUCUGUCCAUCGUGAAGAAAUAAGUGCUAUCUCAUGGCUUUCUCCAUCAAGAAUAAGCGUCCUUCCCAGAUGAGUAUCAUUCAGUUUAAUGGUUUAUGUUUAUAUCCAUUUAGAACAUACUGAUAUGUUAAACUUAGAGUACGUGCCAGAAAAAUACCAGCUGAAGCUGAGAAGCCUUUCCAAAUGUUCUACCCAACUAACACAGUUUUUAAUGCAGUUCAUGAGGGUUUACUGACUUUCUGGUCUCAUCUGGCUUUGGCCUGUCAGUACAUCAGCAACAUAAGUGUUAGGCACAUGUCAACCCUGCAUUUUAGUUCCAAGAAAGAGAUUUUUUUCCAACUUGCAAAUUCUUACUAUAUGCUUACUGAUGAUAUUUGGAAUUUAUAACUCCUGAGAACGCUCUUCUGUUUUGAUGGAUGUGAAAUCAAAGGAGGGAAAAAUCUGUAUGGUACGGAGCUGUUAAAACAAAAAUGCAGAGGAGAAUUAAAGAACAUAUUAGGGGACAUUUUUCUCAGGUAAUAUGGUCUGUAGCCUUUUACUCUGCAAAGCAGAUGAUGUGUUAACCAUUCAGCUCAAGAGAAACACUUCAUUUCAGGUUUUGAUCGUUUGAACCUAUCAAGAUCCUUAUGACUGCUAGAUCUUGAAGAAAUACAUGGCUUUUUUGUCUUGAAUUUGCCAUUACGUUUGUCAUUCAGCAGUAUUUAUCUCCUGCAUAAACUCUCAGGGCUUUGACUCCUCUUCUGAUGAACACAUUAUAGUCAUUUUUAGAAACAGAGUUGUCCUUUCCAGUCACAAUAUAAGGGAUGCUGAAUAGUUCACAUUUAAUUCCUGAAAUGUACAUGUCUAGGUAUACUCCUAGAGAUGAAGCAAAUGUAAUGUAACAUUAUGAUUUUCUUUUCAGUCUGCAUGAUUAAUUUUUGCUCAUGAUAUGGAUACAGCCUAAGAUUUAUCAGUUUCAAUUUAUCAAGUCAAUAAUGGCCUUCUCUCCAGAUGUAAUAUAUUAAGCUCAACAGACAGCAACCUUUUAACAUUUCUGUCUUCUAAAUUGCUAUUUAUGUGGAGAAGAUGAGUCAGUGGAAUCAGCUGGAUUCACAUUUUCCUGGCUCUUCAGAAUAGAAGACACUGGAGUAAAAUAAACUCCUGAGUGCCUUCUGGGUCUAACCAGCUGAGGUGGGUUAUUCUCUGUCUACUCUAAUAUAUCAUAAGAUUCCUUGCUGUCCAGAAGCUAAUAAAUUGUACUGUGUGCUAUCAGGGGAGUAUAAAAUGUGACCUCAAGAAUUUGAUAUCCUUUUAUAUUGAGGGCUAGCUAAGGCAUGGGUUCUUUAUUUAUUGUGAGGAUUCAGAAGUAGUUUCAUAUGUAAUGGCAGUUAUUGAUUUACUAGUUUUUUUAUUAUUUAUUGGAGUGUUGGAAAGAGGAGUGCUUUUGCUCAUGCGUGAAGUAAGAGCAAACAGAAUUUUCUAAUCCAGGAUACAUCUGAAGGUACAUCACUGUAAUGGAAUUGGUAGUCUUUGGGCUAUGGCCACUGUCUACCUUCUGUUUUCCCUGAGAGGAAGCAGAGAUGAGCUCUUCCUGCACAUGGAAAGACAGUCAGAUGUAUCACUCCCACACCAGCCAUGCCUGUGAGAAGAGCCCCAAAACUAGGAUGUGUAAUCACUCCCACAACUGAGAUUUUGUCUCUCCCUCUUAAAUAACUAAGUGACCUGAUUUAUAUCAACAUGAAGCACCUGCAACCUAUGAUAACAUUCAUAAGCUUCAUGGUGCGCAUCAUUUGGAAGCAAGAUACUUAAAUAAGUGUUUAGUUUUCCAGCUUUAGGUUGAAGCAUUCAGAAUUUUAGUCUUUAUUCUAAUGACCGUAGACACCAGUGCAGUUUUCUGGAAUUGUCUUAUGGAUGCAAAAUCCCUUCAGCUGCUCCUCCUUCUUCUCUCCAUCUCUACAAGAUCCUGAGCAGCUACGGCUGCUGUUCUUGCACUCUAAGUUACCAUAGUGAACACUGAAGAAUGAAGACUUCUGACUCCCCCCCCAAGCCCUGGUUUUCGUUAUCCAGAGCUGCCUUAACAAGCAGGGGUAAGCAUCAGUGCCUAGGUGCAGCUGGCAGUAUUCAUCGCUGCCUUCCAGCCUUGCAGUAGCUCCAUGCUGUUCUGCAUCUGCCCUCAUUUACAGGCAGUGCCCUUUAUGUUUGAGUAAUGGUAAUUCUUCAGCUUCAGAAUAUGGUGAUUUCUUGAUUUUAUGCUUUUGCUCCUUAGCAUGCGUGUGGCUUGCAUUAGUAAUGGUACUUUUGGUACUGUGGGCAGUUCUGUUCGCAAGGCCGGUUCUUCCCAUAGACAGCCUCGAUGGUUUGGACCUCUAAGGAGUGAAACUUAAAAACAUGAGUUUUUCAUACGUAAUCUUCCUAUGUUUGUUGUAAAAAAAAAAAAAAAAAAAAUUACAACAAAAUUUGGUCAUUUGGUCCAUCCAUGGGAGGCACUUAUAAUUUAUUAGGCAGCCUGCUGUGCUCUUAGAAAGAAAACUUCAGUUAUGUCUAUGAAGGAUUUUAUAUAUAUUGAAUUAAUAAGUGGCUUGUGUAGUGCAUAAACUGUUUCAUCUUGCGAUCCUUUGCCUAUGUAAAAAAUUGCAGUAUGUUAACAAGAUUGGGAUAUUGUUGCUAGCACACACUGGAGGAAAGCCAAGAUCUGUGCUUAUUUGGCUUCAGUUCUGAUAAGUCAUUCUUGAUUAUUUCAGUUAAAUUAUUUGGUUUAUGUGAUUCCAUAAUGCCUUGAUAGUACAGCUCUUGUGCUGCACACCUGCAUUGUCAGCUUCAUGUAAUAGUUACUGCUUAAGAAGAACAUAAUAAAAAUAAUAGAAUAAAAAAUAGUAAGAUAUAAACUUCUCCAUUUUCUCUGCUGGUUACACCAAGCGUUUUACAGUGUGUUUGCUCUCUAAUAUAUUCCUGUCUUAUGCAUUUGAAAUGCCACCACUUUCAAAUAAACAUGUUAACAUUUUGGAUGAAUAGAUGACCAAUUAAUACCCAAAUAGCUCUCUGGGAUAUAUCAUAAUACUUGAUCUCAUAAUGAGAGGACUGGUUUUACUUGAGGAAAGGGUGCAGCCACACCAUUUCAGGUCUGUGGUUUACCACACUUGAGAUCUGGUGCCAUCCAAACACAGUAGCAUGUGGCCCAGGAUGGAGCAACAGUGCAGAUACCGAUUUCAGAGCAUGAGCUAUUGUGAUCUCUUUUCUUUUUCUUCAGUAACAUUGAGGUCUCUCAGUGCUGCUUGCUCUUUGAAAAUAACCCGUUUCUUCUUCAAGGAACAGAAUUGUGCAGUUGCCAUAAUGCUCCUGCUGUGUUUGCUAACAAGACAUUGGUGUAUCUGCGAUUAUGGGUUGCUGCUGGAAAUGCUUCUCUGUCUUAAGCAGAGAAGAAAGAAAUUAUUCCUUUUGGUGGAGAUACUGCAUAGCAGGUCAGAACAGAUUGCUAUUUUUUAAGGAGGGAAUUUUCUAGUGAGACAUAUGGGUACCGAUAUAUUUUUUUCUGUCUCUCCCUACUAGUUAUCUAGUAGGGAACUGGACAGCUGGAGGGCUAGGCUGUUGCUUUCUAAGCUUAAGAUACUUUUGUUGUUGUUAGAAUCUAAAUAUAAAGCUGCAGUUUGUAGGAUGAUGAGUUUACUGCAAGCGAAGGGAGCACGGUGUAUGCAGUAAUCACUUGGUGUACACUGUAGCUUGUUGAAGUCAUUAGAAAAAUGAUGACAUCAGCCCUUUUAUUACAGCAGUUGGAUUAGUUAGGGCUUCGGCAAUGUUUUCUCAGAGCCAGAAGAUAAAGCAGCUGUGAGGGAUGCCUUGAGUGUUCUCAUUUGCAGGGAGCUCGCACCUGUACGUGUUUGUUUUUUGGUAGGCGCGGAAAAGAUUCAGAGAGCAAAGCCACAAAGUGGCCAGAAACGAUACCAAUCCAUCACAGUUUUCAUGGCUCAUAUAUUUUUACUGUGCUAUAAAUAGUUACUCCGAGCCACCCAUGGAAACACACAUAAAACACGUGCCUCCUGUGCUGUAGUGGAUGAUGCUGUUUGUCUUCAUCUUUCCUGAGUGAUAUAUGAGUCCUGAGCUCAACGCCUUCUCUUAUGCUGAACAGGACUUGCGUGCAGUCCUGCCUCAACUCGAGCUGUUCUGGAAGCAUGGCUUUGUGUGAACCUGCAAAAUCGAGCUGGGAUUUAAUUUUUAAAUUCCAAGGUGCAAGGAUUUCUACUGCUUAUUGAUCAAAGGCAGUAGAAAUUAAAUAUAUGCAUGCCAGGAUUAAAACAUACAGACACCACACAGCUCCUACUUUCUUUGGACAUAUAUGAUUUGAAGGGUACAUUUUCAAGGCUUUUUUUUUUAAACUUACCUUCCUAAAUCCUCUCUGGGCCCUGAAAUACGUAGAGUUUCAUUUUCAAAGGCACUGAAUAGCAGUCUCCUGACAUCAGACGCUUAGUACUUUCAAAGAUAUAUAGAUAGAUAUUUAGAAAUCCAGUGUCAUUUCCAACAAACUGUGUAUCCAACUCAGAUGUUCAUUAAGCUUUAUUUAAAAAAAAAAGAUGAGAAUACCAAUACAUACUCCCAUCAAGGUCUUUAUUUCUUUGUUUUCACAAGCAUACGAAUGAAAAGUUCCUUUUCCCACUUGUGGUGAUGAUUUUUAUUGACGUUUCACCUAGGAAAUGUUCUCCCCAAAAUGUAGCUUGUGUUUAGAGUCAAACAGCAGGCUUUGGCAAAUUUCUUUUGACAAGGAUUUUCGUUUUUGGCAUCCAGCCAUUGAAAAUAACACAGUCCUCUCAAAGCUGCAUUGUUCCUAGAGAGCAAAGCUAUCUUGCAAGAUCAUGGAAAAUGAGGGGGUUGUAGAGGCAGCUUGAUUAAAGGCCUCCUGAAUUUUGGAUAAGACAGUGAAAUAUUUUUGAAAUUAAAAAGUAGCACUCGUGCUGAUGAGAUUUGUUUGUAUAGGCUCUUGCUGGCUGUGCAUGUCUUCAUAGUCAUAUACCUCAUGCUAGGGGUAGACAGAUAGGUCUGUAUCACAUCAGAAGAACAAUAGUGCACUGUCAAAUUUGCUUCAACAUGUCCAAUUUAUGACAUUAUUUAUUAAAACCAGGAAUUUUCUCUUAACAGUUAUGGUACUUUGAGGAGGAAAAGUUAUCUUAAAAAUAACUUGGACCUAAUCCAUAAAAAGAUUUUCAUAGUUUGGCAUCAGCAUCCUGAGCUGAUUAGGGUUAGCAGGACAGUCAUGUGGUCUCUGAGAAAGUAUGAUGAUGUGUUCCUUGUGAAUAGCUGCUGUCUCCUCUUGCUUGGAACUCUUAACAAUGUUCCUCAGCUUCUCCAUAUAAGAAUGAAUACAGUAAUCCAGUCUGGAGGUCCUAAGGUGGCAAUUAUGCCUUGACAACAGACUUCUAGACUGUGAGGCAUGGCUUCAUUACAGUGAAUAACUUAAAACAUGCUGCCAGUUUUCUGAGGUUCAUCCAGUCUGAGCUGAGCUGGACUGGAGAUCUUAAAUCAAAGCAGCUGUUUGCUCUGAGCAGUGCAAGCAACUGGGUCUUAAUGGUGGCAGCUAGUGUGGUAAUGAAAAUGUGACACCUACUGCUCGAUGUAGCAGAGGUUCAGAUGCCACAAAAGGCUGCUUUCAGAUGAGAUAGGGGAUUAGGAUUAGUGUAAGGAGUACAGUGCAGAUGGUUGAAGAAAAUUAGCUGCUCUGUGCUUCAGGUCAACGGCAAAGGUUUCAGAUUAAUUUGUGCUGCUUUUGUUGCUUUUUUUAUCAUGCACAUUUGCAAAGAUUACUUUGGAUGUGUGGAUACCAAUAUAGAAAAUUGUAGCUGAUACACACAAGGCAUUUAGCUUGCACAUAUAUCCUAGAUGAGGAGGAUAUUUAAGCCAUUAAAGAGAUGAAAACUUAAUGGUAGAAAUAAGCCCAUAUAGAUAGGGCAUUCUUGUAUUUGGUCUUCUGCCAGAUGUAGCCCUUGGAGUUAGUGUUUUGCUGUAACAUUUGCAAUGUGGCCAGUGAGACACUUGGUCAGAGCUGGAAGUUGUUUGAAUCAGAAUGCAGUAUUGUCUGUUGAGACUUGCAAUCUUGAGGGACUUCAGCUUCAUUGUGCGGAAGACGAUGGAUGGCUUUAGUGUGGGAUGUCCAGUCUUGCCGAGCCACAUGCAAGUGGAAAGUGUUUGAGCAAAGAAAAGUUUUGGCCAAAACCUUGCUGCUUCACCCAUAAAGAAUUUAAGAGAGAGGAAUGUGUGCUCCAAUCUGAAGAUAAAAAAAUCGUUCUAGCUGCCAGCAUUAUGUGCAUAGCAGGCCUUUACUACUCAAGGUUAGCUUUGGAUUUACAUGGCAGUGAAAAAGGUCAGCCUCUUGCAAAGUAACCGAAAACAAGAUGAAACGUUUCUCAAACAGACAACCCUCUUUCUCUAAAGUGUGAUCUAUCAGUCAUUUCUCAGCUUCUCUCUUUGUUGUCAUGAGAUGACAGCAAAUUAAUUGGAGGCCUGUACAUCAAACAUUUAAGUACCUGUGUGUAUUCUGCCAAAAAAAAAAGAAAAGAAAAAAAAAGGCUUGGAAAUAAUUCUUGUGAGCACUUUUCUUCAACACUUCUGUCUUUAUAAAGUCAAGAACAAGAAUUAAACUUGGUUUUAGAAACAAGCAUAUUGGCAGCAGAGAAGACUGGCUGCAAGAAAUUCAGAACCCCAGGCUGUCCAUACUCAUCUCUUUGUUGACCAAGUUUCCGUAGCGAUCCCUUACUGUCAAUGGGAAGAAAGUCCCUCUGGAACUGAUUCACUCAGCAGUGUAGCGGAGUGUCCAGACUAAGUCAAAAUGCUGUACUGCUUGCAUUUCUGACAAGGCAAUGGCUGAUUUUGUGAUUGUAUUUUGGUGUAGCUCUUGCAGCAGCAAAUGGGGAUCUUGGCUGCCUGCUGUAGAGUUGAUCUGCGGAGCCCCAUAAAAGAUCAGGGUCAUAGUUUCACAGCAAAGUGAGCCUUCAAAAUCCCAUUCUUUAUUGCUUUAACUGAUUAGAAGUCCAGCACCUUUUGUAUAGCUUUUUGUAAAUCCAGUUCUGUAAAGAUAAGUAUCUAGGUCAGAACCUAGAGCUGGUGUCAGUGUUUUUUUUUACGCUGUGGUAUGUUUGGAAAGUCUUUGAUAUAGUUGGAUUGCCUUGAGGAAUCCAGUUGAUUUCUGAAGUGAGUGCUUCAGAAAUUUAACCUGUCAAACUUGACUUUCAGCAGUUUAACAGAGGCUUGUCAGCUGGUGCCUUACUCUUCAUUUUAGAUCGAUGUGAAUAUUUUGAGAAAAAAGCAAAGAAAAAAUCCUAUGUUCUCCUUAUCCUAUUCACAAGCCUGUUGCAUCUUCAGUGUGGUGGCUUUGCCUGAGGUUAUGCAUAAAGAAAACUCAAAAUGCACGCUGGUUAGGACAGAAAUCCUAUUCCCCUAAGAGGGGCAUCUUGAGCAAGAGGACUCUUUGGAAGCAUAGGUACUUUGUUGGUGACAAUACACUUUCUUUUCUAGGCACAAAGUGAUACUUGUUGCUCUGGAGAUCAGUUUAAUAAGUCAGGUGUCUGCAUGACUCUUCAAAAGAUACAUCAUGCUGAUGUUGAAACACACGCGUUUGAGUUCUCAUUUAAAUGUUUUUUCUCCAACUUCAAAAAAAAAAAAAAAAGAAAAGAAAGAAAAAAAAAAGAAAAAAAGAAAG